UGGCCUCUGGGUGUGUACCCU
RNAcentral lists this microRNA (21 nucleotides) under Callithrix jacchus (white-tufted-ear marmoset). Its description in RNAcentral is "Cja-Mir-7180_3p (mature (guide))". Lineage: Eukaryota; Metazoa; Chordata; Mammalia; Primates; Cebidae. RNAcentral also lists the same sequence under 2 other names. The record is from RNAcentral.